CCUACGGGGAGCUGCAGUGAGGAAUAUUGGUCAAUGGGCGCGAGCCUGAACCAGCCAAGUAGCGUGAAGGAUGACUGCCCUACGGGUUGUAAACUUCUUUUAUAAAGGAAUAAAGUGAGGCACGUGUGCCUUUUUGUAUGUACUUUAUGUAUAAGGAUCGGCUAACUCCGUGCCAGCAGCCGCGGUAAUACGGAGGAUCCGAGCGUUAUACGGAUUUAUUGGGUUUAAAGGGAGCGUAGAUGGGUUGUUAAGUCAGUUGUGAAAGUUUGCGGCUCAACCGUAAAAUUGCAAUUGAUACUGGCUGUCUUGAGUACAGUUGAGGUAGGCGGAAUUCGUGGUGUAGCGGUGAAAUGCUUAGAUAUCACGAAGAACUCCGAUUGCGAAGGCAGCUUACUAAACUGCCACUGACAUUGAUGCUCGAAAGUGUGGGUAUCAAACAGGAUUAGAUACCCCAGUAGUC
RNAcentral lists this ribosomal RNA (460 nucleotides) under uncultured bacterium. RNAcentral's name for it is "partial 16S ribosomal RNA". It matches the Rfam family "Bacterial small subunit ribosomal RNA", at positions 338 to 795 of the family's 1533-position model. The record is from RNAcentral.